UGAGGAAGUGACAGAGGAGCCGACGGAGUUCACAGAUCUUAGACGUGCAUGACCCUCCCAACAAUCAGGACCUAUGUUCAAGCAUGUGUAACACAUUCGCACUGGCGCACAUGCUGCAGAAAUGUUCCCAGAUUUAACUUAAAAUGGCAGCAGUGUAAGAACAGCAGCAGAGGGAAAGGAGCUACUUAGUUUGUUUCCGUUGACUGAUUAAAUUCUGAGAAUGUGAAAGAAAUUCCUGUGUUUACGUCGUGUUCCGGGUGUGUUAAUUCCCAGGCUUGUCAGAGAGACAUUUGGGGAGGAAAUUAGUGAUAUCUGAAGACUGUCUGGCCUCGGGCGGGGAAGAUGACACCCUGAGAAACAUGCCUGUCUCUACAGUCCCAUGGCAGACACAGAGAGAUGGUCCGAUCAGCAGGUGACCUUUGACCUCUGUCUCACAUGUCUACACACAGCAGGUCCUGACUGGCUGUAACCCUCUGGUGUUUCAAAGCCUAAAGACAGCAAGAAUGGUCGUACUUACUGCCACUACCAAGCGCCCAGCCUCCUCCGUGGAAAAACAACAACCCUCUCCUCAGAUGACCCUCCCCUCCAGCCGGGGGCUCAUACACUCGGACUGGGACACCAG
Epinephelus lanceolatus (giant grouper) is the source of this 622-nucleotide long non-coding RNA. RefSeq lists it as uncharacterized. Lineage: Eukaryota; Metazoa; Chordata; Actinopteri; Perciformes; Serranidae. The record is from RefSeq and is a predicted model, not a curated record.